AGCAGCCGCGGUAAUUCCAGCUCCAAUAGCGUAUAUUAAAGUUGUUGCAGUUAAAAAGCUCGUAGUUGAAUUUCGGGGUCAGUAGGUUGGUCAUGCCUUUGGUAUGUACUGGUCUCACUGAUUCCUCCCUCUUGAAGAACUGUAAUGUCAUUAAUUUGGUGUUGCGGGGAAUCAGGACUGUUACUUUGAAAAAAUUAGAGUGUUUAAAGCAGGCUUACGCUUGAAUACAUUAGCAUGGAAUAAUGAAAUAGGACGUUUGAUCCUAUUUUUGUUGGUUUCUAGGAUUGACGUAAUGAUUAAUAGGGAUAGUUGGGGGCAUUAGUAUUCAAUUGUCAGAGGUGAAAUUCUUGGAUUUAUUGAAGACUAACUACUGCGAAAGCAUUUGCCAAGGAUGUUUUCAUUAAUCAAGAACGAAAGUUAGGGGAUCGAAGACGAUCAGAUACCGUCGUAGUCUUAACCAUAAACUAUGCCGACUAGGGAUCGGAUGAUGUUAAUUUUUUAAUGACUCAUUCGGCGCCUU
RNAcentral lists this ribosomal RNA (520 nucleotides) under uncultured Glomus. RNAcentral's name for it is "SSU rRNA". It matches the Rfam family "Eukaryotic small subunit ribosomal RNA", at positions 569 to 1089 of the family's 1831-position model. The record is from RNAcentral. Lineage: Eukaryota; Fungi; Glomeromycota; Glomeromycetes; Glomerales; Glomeraceae.